GACGAACGCUGGCGGCGUGCUUAACACAUGCAAGUCGAACGGUGAAGGGGUCUGCUUUUGUGGGCCCUGGAUGAGUGGCGAACGGGUGAGUAACACGUGAGUAACCUGCCCCCUUCUUCUGGAUAACCGCAUGAAAGUGUGGCUAAUACGGGAUAUUCUGGGUCUGUCGCAUGAUGGGUCUGGGAAAGAUUGCGCCUUUGGGUGUUUUUGGUGGGGGAUGGGCUCGCGGCCUAUCAGCUUGUUGGUGGGGUGAUGGCCUACCAAGGCGGUGACGGGUAGCCGGCCUGAGAGGGUGGACGGUCACACUGGGACUGAGACACGGCCCAGACUCCUACGGGAGGCAGCAGUGGGGAAUAUUGCACAAUGGGCGCAAGCCUGUUGCAGCGACGCCGCGUGAGGGAUGGAGGCCUUCGGGUUGUAAACCUCUUUCGCCAGUGAAGCAGGCCUGCUCCUUGUGGGUGGGUUGACGGUAGCUGGAUAAGAAGCGCCGGCUAACUACGUG
This 502-nucleotide ribosomal RNA is filed under the name uncultured bacterium. RNAcentral describes it as "partial 16S ribosomal RNA". It matches the Rfam family "Bacterial small subunit ribosomal RNA", at positions 28 to 507 of the family's 1533-position model. The record is from RNAcentral.